This 550-nucleotide ribosomal RNA is filed under the name Drepanacra plaga. RNAcentral describes it as "partial 16S ribosomal RNA". It matches the Rfam family "Archaeal large subunit ribosomal RNA", at positions 1895 to 2689 of the family's 2987-position model. The record is from RNAcentral. Lineage: Eukaryota; Metazoa; Arthropoda; Insecta; Neuroptera; Hemerobiidae.
UUGUUUAUCAAAAACAUGUCUUUUAGAAAUUAAUUUAAAGUCUAACCUGCCCKCUGAUUUUAUAUUUAAGGGCCGCAGUAUUUUGACUGUGCAAAGGUAGCAUAAUCAUUUGUCUUUUAAUUGAAGGCUGGAAUGAAUGGUUGAAUGAAGUAUUAACUGUCUCAUUUUUAUAAAUUAAGAAUUUAGCUUUUAAAUAAAAAGGUUUAAAUAAAAUUAAAAGACGAGAAGACCCUAUAGAUUUUUAUAUUGAAUUAAUUAAUAAUAAUAAGAAAUUAAUUUUAUUAUUAUUUAAUUUAAUAUUUGAUUGGGGUGAUUAAAAAAUUAAAAAAACUUUUUGUUUAUUAAACAUAAAUUAAUGAAUAAUUGAUCCAAUUUUAUUGAUUAAAAGAUUAAAUUACCUUAGGGAUAACAGCGUAAUUUUUUUAGAGAGUUCAUAUCGAUAAAAAAGAUUGCGACCUCGAUGUUGAAUUAAAGGUUAUUUUUAAAUGUAGUAGUUUAAAGUUUAAGUCUGUUCGACUUUUGAAUCUUUACAUGAUCUGAGUUAAACCGG